CAUCUGAGCUGCCUUGCUGUCUUAAUGGCGGCACGUAUUACCCAUAAGUCUGUGCGCCAGAACCCAAAUCAGAUUUUAUUUUAAAAAGAUGGCGACCGAAGUUCACAACAAAAGUGUUCAUAAAUGGUCUUCAACAGAGGUAUGUUCGUUCAUCAAGGCCAGAGGGGAGGCAGAGCACCUUUUUACGGGCCACAAAAACAGUGCCAUGGACGGAUGGAAACAGGUGCUCGAUACCAUUGGCCUUGCGGGCGUGGUCAGCCCACUUCAG
Hypomesus transpacificus is the source of this 268-nucleotide long non-coding RNA. RefSeq lists it as uncharacterized. The record is from RefSeq and is a predicted model, not a curated record. The transcript is spliced from 3 exons. NCBI's taxonomy places the organism in Eukaryota, Metazoa, Chordata, Actinopteri, Osmeriformes, Osmeridae.